CUUAGCGAACUGAAACAUCUGAGUAGCUAAAGGAAGGAAAAUCAACCGAGACCCCGUUAGUAGCGGCGAGCGAGAGCGGAACAAGGGUUUUCAUCAAAAGAAAUCUGAAGCGGUUUCAUUCGAUUUGUUGUGGAUUGGAUGAUGGAAAAACCAGAAAGCAGCAAGCGUAGUUAGAAAAGUUGCCGUAGCGCGCCCUACGGAGUUGUACAAAGUCAGCAACCAUUUUGGGGCGCAAGCAUAGGCAACACAGGACUGAUGACGGGGUGGGGCGCGCAGUGAACUGGUUUUCUAAAAAGAUUGGAAGAUCCGGCCAAAGAAGGUGAUAGCCCUGUUCAUUCGUUCCCAUGGUUCGAUCCUUCCCAGUAAAACGCGGCGUGUUCGAAUGAUGAUUGCUUUUACGCGAGAAAGGGGGACCACCCUCUAAGCCUAAGUAUUCCUCAAUGACCGAUAGCGUACAAGUACCGUGAGGGAAAGGUGAAAAGAACCCCAAUCGGGGAGUGCAAUAGAGAACCUGAGAUCCGAUGCGAACAAUCAG
This 535-nucleotide ribosomal RNA is filed under the name Triticum aestivum (bread wheat). RNAcentral's name for it is "rRNA LSU_rRNA_eukarya". It matches the Rfam family "Bacterial large subunit ribosomal RNA", at positions 184 to 573 of the family's 2925-position model. The record is from RNAcentral. Lineage: Eukaryota; Viridiplantae; Streptophyta; Magnoliopsida; Poales; Poaceae.